Molecule: ribosomal RNA, 204 nt
Filed under: uncultured bacterium
Lineage: Bacteria
Description: partial 16S ribosomal RNA
Rfam family: Bacterial small subunit ribosomal RNA
Source: RNAcentral
UACGGAGGGUGCGAGCGUUGUCCGGAAUCACUGGGCGUAAAGGCGCGUAGGCGGCGCGGGAAGUCCGUGGUGAAAGCCCGAGGCUCAACUUCGGGUCGGCCAUGGAUACUCCUGGGCUCGAGCACUGUAGAGGCAGGUGGAAUUCCGGGUGUAGCGGUGGAAUGCGUAGAGAUCCGGAAGAACACCGGUGGCGAAGGCGGCCUG